GUUGUUUUUUGUAGACGAACCCUAUAAAAAAUAGUAAUACACUGUCAAAGAAUAGAUUACUUCUUGAGGAGCUUGGGAUGUGGAGGCAAUCUGUAUUUUUGUUUGAAUGAGUUGUUUGAUAGUUUCUAGUCUUGGGAUUUGGUGGUACCUAGUGAUUCUUGUACAUAAUUUAAUUUCAACCAUUUUGUUCGGAAUAUAGAUAUUGCUUCGGUUGUCUGAUAUUUGCGCUUCUUCUAUUUCCUGUAAUUUAUUUAGAUCCUGUCUUGCUGUGAUUUUAAGCUGAAUUUGGAUCGUUGUUGAUCAAAAAUUGUACCGUUGGACAAUUUUUUAAUGGAAAUAUUCUGACAUCUUUGCAGUACAACAACAGGACAUUUACUCUCAUUUUUCCAAUAUUACCCCCGUCAUUACACACUCUCAACUGCCAACAUUCUGUCCCCCUUUUCCUCGUAACUUUUUGCCUCAAAGUCAGUGAACGUGUAUUCAUACGUGGUUGAAAAGUAGUCUUGAAAAAAUAAAAUGGUUAAAAAAGUGGUUUGGAAAAAUGUGAAAAAUAAAUUUAUGGUGAAUUUUGCUCGAAUUAUGGUGAAUUUUGGUAUUUAACUUGCUCGAAAUAUGGUGAAUUUUGCAUCCACUGUUUGAAUUGGCAAACUACAAAAUUAUUUAUUAGACAAUGCAUUUUGGAACCACUUUCAAGCAUGGCAAGUUACGAUAAUACAAGGACAUUAAAGUUAAACAAAUUGAUAAACAAACAUGUUAAAUCGUAUACAAAUUUUGACAAAUUUUUGUGCAAUAUCAUAAGGAUACGAUUUAAAUCGUGUAAAAAAAAUUUGUGCAGUACCCUUAAGAAAAAAGGAAAAAAUUGAUCUCAUAUUUUUAAAAAAAAAAAAAAUAAUAAUAAAUUAAAAAAAAAAGAAAGAAAAAAAAAUAAAAACAACUUGUGUCUCCGUGACAAAUAUUGUCANNNNNNNNNNNNNNNNNNNNNNNNNNNNNNNNNNNNNNNNNNNNNNNNNNNNNNNNNNNNNNNNNNNNNNNNNNNNNNNNNNNNNNNNNNNNNNNNNNNNNNNNNNNNNNNNNNNNNNNNNNNNNNNNNNNNNNNNNNNNNNNNNNNNNNNNNNNNNNNNNNNNNNNNNNNNNNNNNNNNNNNNNNNNNNNNNNNNNNNNNNNNNNNNNNNNNNNNNNNNNNNNNNNNNNNNNNNNNNNNNNNNNNNNNNNNNNNNNNNNNNNNNNNNNNNNNNNNNNNNNNNNNNNNNNNNNNNNNNNNNNNNNNNNNNNNNNNNNNNNNNNNNNNNNNNNNNNNNNNNNNNNNNNNNNNNNNNNNNNNNNNNNNNNNNNNNNNNNNNNNNNNNNNNNNNNNNNNNNNNNNNNNNNNNNNNNNNNNNNNNNNNNNNNNNNNNNNNNNNNNNNNNNNNNNNNNNNNNNNNNNNNNNNNNNNNNNNNNNNNNNNNNNNNNNNNNNNNNNNNNNNNNNNNNNNNNNNNNNNNNNNNNNNNNNNNNNNNNNNNNNNNNNNNNNNNNNNNNNNNNNNNNNNNUUAGACUGCAAUUGUUGGUCAGUAAUUCGCUAGCUGAGGGAAAUUUUGAAUUUUACAUUUUCAUGUGGUAACCGAAAAAAACCUCACAGUUUUAAAUGUUGCUUAGCAAUAAAGUGGGGCAAUAUUUGGUUGGUGAAUUGUGUAUUUAAAUCGAAGUAUCAAAAGCAAACCACUCUAUACAAUAUAAUUAACUAACAAAACUACAAAUAAAUUUCUUUUUUUAUUAUUAUUUAAUUCAUAUAUUUCACUUCAAUUUUUUGAAAAUUAUUUUAUUCCAUAUUAAUUUUCAAUCACACAUUUUAUAGGAUUUACGCUUUUUUAUCAACUUCUCAAUUAUACAUAUCAUCAACUUCCACUCAAUCCAAUUUGUCAAACCUAUCAAGAUGUACACAUCAGUUUUAAUAAUUAUGAAAGUUCUUGGGUUCUGAAAAUUGUAACAUACAUUUAUUAUGUGAAGCUUAUUUAUAAAUGUAUUUAAUGACUAGGGAUGCACAUAGAUCUUUCUGCCUAUUUGGAGGGUUGGAAAUAAAAUUAUAAUUUAAUUAUUUUCCGAUCACUGGAAGAAAUUUUAAUUGAACAAAGAUCUCCUCACAACAACCUCUAUUGUGCUCCAACUUGACGAUGAUUUGUGAAAACUUUCCUUUUGUUUUAACUGAUCAAAUAAUUUAACGUUCGAACUAAUGGCAUUAAAGUUAUUACUUAGGAAAAACACUUUUCUUUCUUCCGUCUUCUACUCUUAACUUAUUUCUUGCACCUUAAAGUUUCAUCUUUUGCACAUUUGUAUAAAUCUUUGUCAAAAGAAGUGGAUAGAAGAUCUCAUUACCUUAAAAAAAGAUGCGUGCUCAUGAAAGAAAGAAUGAUUAAGUAGAAAAGAAUUUACUCGAUAAUGGAAUUAUGGAAAUGCUUCCUUCUUUCAUAUUUUUUAGAAAUGGGGAGAUGACCGUCAAACGGACAAGAUAUGUUAUCCAUGGAAGCGACGACGGAGUUAAUAGAAGAAUUGUCUCCAAGGCAACCAUCUAUGUUUUUAUUACAUAGGUGGAGUACGUAUAAAUAUGAUAUGAAAUGAAAUUCAAAAAAUGCCAUGUGUUUAAUUGCCUCUUUAGUACAAUGUUUGAUGCUCUUGUUCAUUCAAAUUCAAAGAAAUUAUCAUAGACGAACAUAUGCAGGAAAAUCUGUAAUUGUGAUUCUGAUCGAUUUUCCUUGAGCAAUCAGAAUUGACGUAAAUUAAUGAACUCUCCAACAUCGAUAUAGAAUGGAAACAAAUACAGAUCAAUCGACUCUCCAACAUCGAUAUGGAAAAUUAAAAGCUGUGGUUCAAAAAUAAAGAAAAGAAAUGUUUUUCUCUAAUUUUAAUUCUACCCGACUAGCCCUUGGUCGAAGCAUCAAAGCAGAACACGGAAAAUUAUAACGAUCCUAACCCUCACGCCACCUGAGCCAAGUCGUUCAGAUCCUUUACCCACUUCCUGAUUCCUGUAAUUAAUCCAAGAAAAUCUGUUUUGGACGUGGAUAAUAUUGAACGAAAAGACGAGAAAACAUUUAUGAACCUAAAUUACUUCUGUUGCUUUUACCCAAAAAUACUGUAUUAAUAUCUAGUACUUCCACUUUCCCUGGACCAGAACACUCCAUUCCCAUCUACAGGAACAUUCACCCCUUUCCUCUCCGUACACACGAAGAUACACGAAGUGGUUUCCUGCUGGGAAAGUAUAAAUUCUUCCCCCUUUUUCCUUUUUGAUGUUUUUACAUGAAUGAUCGUGUCAUUUGCCCUGGGCUGUUAUUUUUAUUGUUGAAUUUUGGAACUAUUCUUGUUUUCUUGCUCUCUCUUGAAUAAUUUUGUGCAAAGGAUGGAAACUUUAAGAGGGGAAAAUUUGAAACUUCAGACUUCAGUAAUCGAAAGGUUUCUUUUCACACCUUUUAAUAAAUUUUGUAAAAUAUCGAUCCUUCUCUUACAAAAACACAAAAAGUAUUUUGGAUAAAAAUUCACCUUUUCUAGAUCAGGGGUUUCUGUUUUCCUUUUAUUUUCCACGGUGUGAUAUAUAUUUACUCUUGUUAAUAAUCUCUUUGGUUGUAUGUACAAUAGCCAGUCGAUAAGUAGCAUUAUAAGGACGCAUGAGACUAAAACCUAUUAUAUGGGGCAAUAGAUUUUUUUUUUUCUUUUUUUUUUUUUUCAGUAAUAUUAGAUUUAUAAUUUUUCCCAUUCACUUAUCAAGGGGGUUUUGAUGUUUGAAUGAUUACCAGACUUCGAGUUCUCAGUCUGACAGAAUGGAUCAUCUGAAAAUAGAGUCUUGCAUUGACUUCUUGCAAUGCCUCGCGGCAGAUGUGUCCUUGAGUAUCUUGAUUUGUUUGGAUGAUCCGGCGGAUCUGGUCCGUGCAGGUGCUGUCUCGCGCUUUUGGCGUCGGUUUGGUGAGUUUUUCAUGUUCAACUUCAUAAUUAUGUGACAAUGGUUGGUCUACUGCUAGUGUAUAUUUACUUUUGAAAUCUACUAAUUGUUAUUUAUGUUGCAUCACUGGAUUCGUGGAUAAUUCCUUAUUUACCGGCUCAAGCGAUCUUUGUUUGGUGCCAUUCUUAUGAACUGCAGGUAGUUGAAGAUGUGUACAUGGAGUAUUUUCGCGAGAGAGAGAGAGAGAGAUGUAAGGGCAUAGUAUAGAGGAUUCCUCAUUGCUAUACACUAUUAUCAAGGUUCCACAUCAAGUUUUUCUUAACUUUUUGCUUCAAUCAUGGAUUAGUUUAUGGGACAUAUUUAAGAUGGUUUUUGGACAUGAGGAUGCUAGGGGAGAUAAUUAUUAGAUCAAUUAUGCUUUAAAGGACAAAAUCUCCACAAGACAAAAGUAACAGAAAUGAGGAUGCUAAGGUGAUAUUGGUCAUGCUAGAAUGGUGGAUAAGAUAAGAUCCAUUCUAACAAAUGAGAAUAUUUGCCAAUAUGUAUAGAGGUGGCACUGGUUGAGAAUGAUUCAAUAGAUGGAUUAAUUGGGUGAUCGGGACAUGCUAAAGGGCUUCCCAGUUAUAAGAGUGAUGACAUUUUAGUAAAAGGACGGGUAGAUGAAAGUUAACAUGGCGAAUCUGGUUGUUAAAGAAUUUUAGUUGCCUUGGACAUUACAUUAUAUUUAUCAAUCAACCAUAUGGAUUGGUAAAAAGGAAUCAUGUGGACCAUUAAUUUAUAGUAGAUAAUGCUGUCUGUUGCUUGUAUGUUGUAAAUGUCUAGUGCAUAUCCAGAUACACAAAACUAAACACUUGUUCUCCAUGUGCAUAGUAAUACUUCUGUUCUAUCAACAGUGAUAGCCUAUUAUGUGGUUUGAUAUUUUCUUGUUUGAUCAGUACAGGGAGUUGCGCAUAAUUCACAUUUCCUGUCAGUGCAAUCUUUUUGGUUUCAUGCUUUGUUGUGGUUUGUUAAGGAAUGUAAUAUUACUUGAUAGGUACUAGUAGUACAGAUGGUUCUUUGUUUCUUAAACAUUGCUAUUGGAAUGCCUAAAAUGUCCCAUUUUGAAAAAUGUGGAAAUAAAUUGAAGGGAAUUUUGAAAUGUGAAGUUUUCGAUGAGCCUCGUUUUGAGUCAAUUUUCUUAUGAAUUAUUCAAAGUUAUCUAGUUUUUAUGUAAACUUUCUCUAAACCAAGUUGAAAUUGAAUUAUCUCAAAGAUACUAUUGAUAGAGCCCCAAUUAAGUACACCUAUUGUAGAGGACUCAAGAAGACUGAAGGAGGGAAGGAACCAUAACUAAACUCUGUUAGAGGGUAUAUUAGGAAAGAAGUUUUUAGAAAGAAUUCUAUAUAGAGUACCAACCAAUUGUGAUAGGCAGGAAUUAAGUACGUGAAGUGAGAAUUAGGAGAGUCGGCCCUCUCGAAAGGUUGGACAGUUUGCUUUAUUUUCUGUAACCCGUCUCUUUUCGAUCAAUAAAAGUUUCCUUGCUUCCAAUUUUUCCUUCUUCUGUUGCUAGACCCUAUCAACUGGUAUCAGAGCACACCAAUCAUCCGCCACAACCAUGACUCUUACUGAUCGAGUUGCUGAGUUAGAAAAAAAGUGGAGAGCCAUCACCAUGAACUACAUAUGGGGAUUGAGGCACUACGUUUGGAAUUUCAAUUGAUGCACUCAGGGAUGAUGGACAAGUUCGAAUUGUUGUUGCGAACUUGGGAAAAUCAAGAAAAGGGGAUAAAGGAAAAGGGCCCUGCUACUGGAGAAUCACCGGCAAUCUCUACUAAUUCUGGGUUAACUGAAAUCCGACCAAGUCCUAACCAAAACAUUGGAGGAGGUUUAUGGGCUGAAGGGAGGAUAGAAUCGCGAAUCAGACGGCUAGAGAUGUCGGUGUUCGAAGGGACUGAUCCAGAUGGUUGGAUUUUUCGGGUGGAGCGAUAUUUCCUCAUUAAUAGGCUGGUUGAGGAAGAGAAAGUGGAAGUAGCUACUGUUUGUUUCGAUGGCGAGGCACUAGCUUGGUACAAAUGGGAAGAAAAACGGCAGCUAAUGAGAAACUGGGAGGAGGUGAAAGUACAGUUGCUGCGAUGAUUUUGGCCAUCACAAGAAGGGUCUCUUUGUGCCCAGUUUUUGUCUUUUGGCAGAGCUCCACCGUUCGAGAAUAUCGCUGGCGGUUUGAAACCUUGGCAUCACCAUUAACGGAGGUCUCUGAGGAGAUUUUGGAGUGCAAUUUUUUGAAUGGAUUAAACCUAACCAUACGGGCUGAAGUUAACUUAUUCCGACUCAUGGGUUUAGAGCAAAUAAUGGAAAUAGCCCAUAUGGUUGAAGACUGGAAUCUAAUAACCCAAAAGAGCCCAUGGCAGGAUGACCCAAUUAAACCCAAAAGUAUCCCCUUUCACAACCCAAAUCCACCUCCUUCUCUCAACUCAAAUCUAACCCAGCUUCCCAACCCAGUUAACAAGCAAUCAGUACCCUUAAAUCUUAUCCCAACUCGUCCAAACCACUACAAACAACUCACAGAUGCAAAAAUGCAGACAAAGAGAGAAAAAGGCUUAUGUUAUCGUUGUGAUGAGAAAUUGACAACUGCGCACAAGUGUAAAAAUAAAGAGUUGCAAGUUCUUGUAAUGAGAGAGCUGGAAGAGGCGACGGACAGCAAAGUCAUGACCGACGAUAGUGAGAGGGAGGAACCUGUUUCAGGCAAGCAAGAGCUGAAUGGUUUAGGAUGCUGGCCAGCAACAAUCAAGUAUACUUUCCACCUUGAGGACAAGGUGACUGAAAUGGGAGGGGUAUUGAUAGAGCCCCAAUUAAGUACACCUAUUCUAGAGGACUCAAGAAGACUGAAGAAGGGAAGGAGCCAUGACUAAAUUCUGUUAGAGGGUAUAUUAGGAAAGAAGUCGUUAGAAAGAAUUCUAUAUAUAGAGUACCUACCAAUUGUGAUAGACAGGAAUUAAGUACGUGAAGUAAGAAUUAGGAGAGUUAGCCCUCUCGAAAGGCUGGACAGUUUGUUUUAUUUUCUGUAACCCGUCUCUUUUCAAUCAAUAAAAGUUUCCUUGCUACCAAUUUUUCCUUCUUCCUGCUACUAGACCCUAUCAGCUAUCUUGCUACAAAUUUUUUUGAUGUAUCUGUUGUAUUUCAAAAAAUGAAUCCAAAAUCUUCCCUAGAAGUUUUUCGUUUUCAGUUCAUCCGAAACUAUUAGCUGGAACAUAGUUUUGAUCCAUCAAAUUUCUUGCUGAAGGCCAGUUGUCUUGAUAUUUCAUGUUGGACGAUCUCCUAGAUAAUUUGAGGAUGAUGAUGACCUAGAAGACAGUAAUGAUCUCUUUGUGAUAGCUCAUUAAUGUGGAGCAUAGGUCUGUUGCUUCGGCUAGUUUCUCGCUGGAUUUGUUAUUUCAACACUAUCAACAUAAUAGGGUACAUGAGGAUUAGGUAAAAGUAAUUGAGAGAAACAAUGUUGAUUCUCAUUGGAUUUGUUAUGUUAACAUUAUCAACCAAUAGGAUACAUGUUGAUGAGGUAAAAGUAUUUGAGAUGUUGUUAGGUGCAUACUUAAGAAGCUUUUAUAUACGCUGACGAUCUUGUAAUUUUAUUAAGUGCUUGUUUGAUAGAGAUUUUUAUAAUUGAUUUUUUGACCGUUGGAGAUAAAAUGGGUCUUACCUGUGAGAAAAGAAUUAAAAAAUGACGACCAUAAUAGUGAAAUAACAGUAAAUUGAUUUUAAUUGGUUUAAAAUCUGUACCAAACAAGCUCUAAUAUUGAUAAAUAAUAUCUGGUCCAAAAUGUUUGAUGUCAAGUGUGCUGGGAAUUAAGGUGGUUGAUGAUGUAAAGCAAAUCUUGCUAAUUUAAGAUGGUGGAACAAGCAAUUGUCAAUUUCAGCUUGGUUUAUGCUGGUGCACUUUCUCACAUUAAUUUUUGAUAGAGAUUUUUAUAAUUGAUUUUUUGAUCGUUGGAGAUAAAAUGGGUCUUACCUGUGAGAAAAGAAUUAAAAAAUGACGACCGUAAUAGUGAAAUAACGGUAAAUUGAUUUUAAUUGGUUUAAAAUCUGUACCAAACAAGCUCUAAUAUUGAUAAAUAAUAUCUGGUCCAAAAUGUUUGAUGUCAAGUGUGCUGGGAAUUAAGGUGGUUGAUGAUGUAAAGCAAAUCUUGCUAAUUUAAGAUGGUGGAACAAGCAAUUGUCAAUUUCAGCUUGGUUUAUGCUGGUGCACUUUCUCACAUUAAUUUCAGGAUCUUUCCAACAAAAAAAAAAAAAACCGCUUGNNNNNNNNNNNNNNNNNNNNNNNNNNNNNNNNNNNNNNNNNNNNNNNNNNNNNNNNNNNNNNNNNNNNNNNNNNNNNNNNNNNNNNNNNNNNNNNNNNNNNNNNNNNNNNNNNNNNNNNNNNNNNNNNNNNNNNNNNNNNNNNNNNNNNNNNNNNNNNNNNNNNNNNNNNNNNNNNNNNNNNNNNNNNNNNNNNNNNNNNNNNNNNNNNNNNNNNNNNNNNNNNNNNNNNNNNNNNNNNNNNNNNNNNNNNNNNNNNNNNNNNNNNNNNNNNNNNNNNNNNNNNNNNNNNNNNNNNNNNNNNNNNNNNNNNNNNNNNNNNNNNNNNNNNNNNNNNNNNNNNNNNNNNNNNNNNNNNNNNNNNNNNNNNNNNNNNNNNNNNNNNNNNNNNNNNNNNNNNNNNNNNNNNNNNNNNNNNNNNNNNNNNNNNNNNNNNNNNNNNNNNNNNNNNNNNNNNNNNNNNNNNNNNNNNNNNNNNNNNNNNNNNNNNNNNNNNNNNNNNNNNNNNNNNNNNNNNNNNNNNNNNNNNNNNNNNNNNNNNNNNNNNNNNNNNNNNNNNNNNNNNNNNNNNUUUUGUUUGAGCAUAUGUCUGUGGUGCUUGUUACUAAUAGAAUAAUAUUACGUUCCUUUAGCUUUUUUCCAGCCGGGCAAACCCAUAUAUUCAGCGAAAUCUGUAAGAUUUCGAAUAAGUCAUCCUAAAUCCCCAAGGGAGAUUGAAAUGAACCUCAAACAUUUGCCAGUGCAAAAGCCAGUUGAUGACAUGUUUGGAUGGACAUACACUUCGCCAGAAUUUCCAAUGACACAGGUUUUUAUUUGUACUUGGGUUUAAUUUUAAACAUCUGCUUUUGAUUUUUGCUCUCCUCUUUCCGCUUCAUGGCAUCAGAAUUCUAAUAGCACUUCUUUUCUGUGUUUGGAACCGUUCAGUUUUUUUCUCACUUGAUUGAUGGGAAUGAGAGGGGAUUUUUGUCACAAUAAUAUCAUUUACUUAAUUCGUCCCCCACCCCAAGUUUUUAUUUUUAAUUUUUUUUUUUUUUUUUGUGUGUGUGUGUGUGUGGUGUGUGUUGUCAAGAGAGCCUCUAUUCAUCUUUAGAUGGAUCUAGUAGUAGUUCAUCCUGGAAGGAUCAUGUUUGGAUAAUCUUUUCCUCCGACACAGGAAAAUCGUUUGCAGCCAUUCAAGCUGCCAGAACCCGUUCUUUGCAUGGGUGGAUAUUUGCAGAUUGAGUUAUUGGGUAGGAUUCAAAGACAAGAAAUGGAUGGAUUGUUCUACAUAUGGUGCGUUCCCUUAUACUUUCCCUUAUCCCAUAUUCUGCGUUCUUCAUCCUUAUGCUUACCCUGUUAUUACAUUGGAAUUAGAAACAGUAAAGCAGUUCAGUCAGUCGAUUUGCACGGUUAAUUGUAUUUUCACUUGAAUCCUGUCUUUAUCUUCAAACUCCAUGGAGAUUGUGGAAUAAGAACGUGAUAUUAAAUAUGAUUUGGAUCUUAUUGGAAAUCAAAAGAUAUAUAAUUACAAUUCAGGGAAAAAUUGAUGCAUUUAGUUGGCUGACUGUGACAUUUUUGUGUUAAAUUAAAAGCUACUGAAAAACUAUUUUUUCUUUUGUUCAGUCAAAAAUUCAGUUGCAUGUUCACAACCACCAUCCAUUUAUUAAUAACUCAUUUUGGGCACCCAAUACUAUUCCUCCUAAAAUAUUACUAAUAAUUUUAACCUAAUACUUACCUUGCAUAAGCAAAUUGGCAAGUAAACCUUCCUGUCCCUAGAACACCCAAGCACACAAAUUUAUAGUGGUUCUCUCUACGUCAACUUGCCCCUUUCCUUUGCAGAUUUUUCACUAUAACAAACAAGUAGAUUGCAUAGUUCUAUCCUGCCACCCCAUGCUUUAUCUAGAAGGAAAAUGCUACCCGACCCCCAGAUUUCUGUAUAUUACGUAGGAAAAUAUGGCGACCUGAUACAAACAGUACAAUUAGGUUCCCUAGAAUCCAACAGCAGGUUGAAAGAAUAGAUCAUAUACAGCUUAAUGAAGCCUCCUCCUCGAUGAAUUUUGCAGCAAUUGUAGCAUGUUAUGUUGUUUGUUUUCAUUUUGUGCGCGCUGCUGCAUGUUGGAUUUAGUGUCUAUGCUUGUACGUUGUAUGUGACUGUGUGCAACUAAAAUGACACGACUCUUGUCACGAAACACUGCAGCGUGUGUCAUGUUCGAGUUCUUGGGCGGCCCGUGUAUCCUGCUUUUGACGUAGAGAUCCUCGAACCACACGGAAAGUUACUGCUCAAGUAUAACCCCGAGGCUCUUAGCUCUGUUCUGAAAAGCGUUUCCAGUGAUGACAUCCCGCACAUGCGCCAACUAGAAGAAAAGAUGAUGUGGGAACGCGUAAGUUUACUGGAUAUUUUGUUGCGUGGGAUACAACAUGGGCCAACCAACCUCGGUGUCUUUGGCGACGAGGAAGAUGAAGAUAUGGAUGAGGUUCUUAUUUUGUAAUUCUGCUGCAUUCCCGUCUUUCCACAAGUCGUAUAUUUCUAGACUUCAUCGCACUCUUCGUGAGUUAGUGCAUAUGUACAUUAUCUUAUUUUUCGUUCUCCUAGCACUUGUGAACGGUUAACCUUUAUAUUUUCUCGAGUAAAAAUUAUGUAUUUUGAAGUGCUUGCAAUACUUAGACCCUGUUUGGCUUAGCUAACCAUUAUAUUUUCAGUAAAUUUUGAUAAAAAUUGAGGAAAUACUAGAUUGAAAAAUUGAUAAAAGUUGUAGGUCUUAUUAACUAUAAAUCUAACAGGGAUUUAGUCCUUGUUUGUCUCUUGUUUAUAACCAGUUAAACUAUUUUUUAUCUAUAUAUUUUGUGAGAAUCUUUUUAUUUAUUUAUAAUUUAAAUAGAUUAUAAACAACUGUGGAACAUGCUUUUGUUCAUAUUUAAACUUUUAGUACAUUUAUUAAUGAGAGGAGAGUUAUAAUUGGAACAAUAGAAAUACAAAUAUUAAUGAUGCAAACUCUUCAUUUUUAUUUUAUUUUAUUUUUUUAAAUUUGAUUUGACGCUUGUUCUGAUUUUUGAAUUGAGAAAAGUUUCUAUACUUGGAUAAUAAAUUUCUUAAAUCUUAGAAGAUAUGUUAAGGUUUCCUCAAUCUUCCAAUAAUAAGAAAAUACAAUAAUUUUACAAAACAUAAAAAUUCUAGAAGUAGCGUGCAUUUUCAUUUAACAAUGAUAAGCAAUUUUUUGACCUUAAAAAGUUUGUCUAGAAUUAUGAUAUGAAUUUUAGAUUUUAAAAUCAUUUAACUUAUUCAUUAGAUUUAAAAGCAAAUCACUUUUUUUUCUUAAACAAUAACGUCGAUAAAAAAGAAAAAAUUACUUAAAAGUAAAAAGAGAAUAAUAAAAAAUUAAUAUAAGCACGUGUAGAGCAAAAGAUUGAACAAUUAAAUUUACAAAUCAAGUUUCAAAUUCCAAAUAAAACUACAGGCAACUCUGCUUUAGUUUCACACACAAAUGAACAUUGAAGACUAGGGAUAAGGACACCUUAAAACAUACAAGGCCGGCCUAAUAUUUUGGGGUCAUAUGCUAACUUUAAAUACGGGGCCCUAUUGAAGAAAAAUCAACGCAUUCUUACAUAGUCUUCCUAUAGAGAGUUUUAAUAUAUUCAUGAAGAAUCUAAUACAGACAAUUAAACCCCAAAGUUUGAAGAGAAAAAUAAGAAAAUGUCAAAAUUGAACAUGCAAUAUAAAUUAUAAGUGAAGUUUGACAUACAAAAUUAUAAUGCAAUGGCAAAGUGCCAUGUUCGUUUCUUUGAUCAUUUUCUCACUACAACUAUUUAAAACAAAAUUGAAUGUGCAUUUGAGUAAUUUAUGUACAAAAUAAAAAAAUGUUGACUACAAGAUAUUGUAUAACAAAAUACUGAAAAUGAUGAUCAAAUACAAAUAAGCUCCUAAAAUCUUGUAUUAACUCAUACUAAAUUAAUUCAAAACUAAGAAGUAUGAACACGAACAAAGGAUUAUUAUCAUGAGAUUAAAGAGACAUUUUUGUUUGGUUAAGAAAAGAAAAUGGAUGUUCGGAAGAUAAAUGGUCAAAUUAAUUAGAGAGCGUAAUGUUUGUGAUAUAUUUAUAUGAUAAAUAAAUGUAAGUGAUAAACUUUGUCAUUUAUAUGUCUUUCUAAAAAUUUUUGUAUUUUCAAUUUUUACUAGUUUCUUGUAUUUGCGUAUUGAUAAUUCUAUUUUAAAGAAUUUCAUAAAUAUGAUUUUUUUUUUCAACCAACUAACCUUGCAUAAUUUGGUGCCUCACCAAAGUGGGCCUUAGGAGAUUGCCUAACCUGCUUGGCCGCCGUUGUUAAUUCCGCGAACUCAACAACCCAAUUCACAUUCAUCCCUUUUCUAUAGCUGUAUAUACUUGCGGUAUGUAUUAGGUUCUCCCUCUCGCAUUGGUUCUGCAUCAGAUGAUGAGCCCCUGCGAAAACUUUCUCUUUUAUUGGCGCCCGAGUAGGAAGGUACCCUUCUUUCGCUUGGGAAAUACAUACAAAUGACCUAAACAAAGAGGCCAUUUUUCUAAAAUAACCUUUGACUAAUUUAGAUCCUAAAAUACCCCCUCCUUUUGAAUAUUACAUAACAAGUUACUAUAAUAUAGAAAUCUUCCAUUUUAAUCCCUAAAAUUUAAUUAUUACUUAAAUUUGGAUAGAUUUUUUUAUUUAUUUGAUUUUUGUUCGCUCAAAUUAGCAUCUCCUAAUUGGUAUCAGAGCCAUGAACUAUGAGAAAACCCAUAACAAAUAAAUUACCUAAAAAGGAAAAAAUCUUUAGAUACAGAUUAACACUUAGAUUUUAUUUAGAAGAAGAAAGAGGAAGUUAUAUAUUUUUAAAACCUAUUCAUAAUAAAUUGAAAAUAAUGACAUUAACAAUAAUUAAAAAACUACCUAAAGAAAUAAAAGAACAAAUAUUAGAAAAAUUAAUAAUAGAAACAAUAAAUGAUAGAUAUAUAUAAAAAAAAUUAAUGUAUAUGAAGAUGAAGAAAUCAAUUUAUAUCAUAAAGAGAAUAUGAGUGCAAGUAAUAAUAUAGAUUUGAAAUUAAAUAGAUUACUUAUAAAAAUGUAAAAAAUACGAGAUAUAAUGUUAAUACCAGAAAGUAUAAGAGUAUCAAAUAAAAGACAAUUAAUAAAAUUAAAAUGUCAAAGAUUAAGACUUAAAAGUAAAUAUAAUAAAAGAAGAAUUAGUAAAUACAGAUAACUAUACUAAUAAAAGAUUUGGAAUAAUAAUAGACAAACAAAGAUGAUAAAAGAUAUAAAUUAACUUAUAUGUUAGAAAGAUGAUUUUAAUAUGUCAAUAGGUGAAUAUAUGGAAGAAUUAAAGUCAUUAAUAAAAAUUUUAAUAACUGAUGUACAAGAUUUAAGAAAUGAAGUAAGAGAAACAAGUAAUAAUAUAAAUAUAUUAAAGAUUGAAAUUAGAGAAGUAAAAGAAAAUAAUAAAAAUUAAGAAAAGAAAAUAGAUAAAAAUUGAUAGAAAAAGAAAUGACUAGAAUAGGAAAGAAAUAUAUUGAGAAAGAAAAUAUAGUAAUAGAAAGAUGAAGUAUGGAUGAUGAAUUUAGAAAAAAAUAUAUUACCAAGAAUAUUAGAAGAAGAAGAAACUAGGGAAAAAUAUUAGGAAAAUUAAAAGUAGAAGAAAAAGAAGAUAAAGAUGAAUGAGGAAUUAGAUUUACUAAUAGAAAAUUUUGAUCAAUUAAGUUUAAUUGAUAUAAGUGAAUAAAAAGGUUUAAUGAAUACUGGAGGAUAACCAAAUCCAAUGGGAACAUCUAAACAAGAAUUAGAAUAUUCAAAUGAAAGUUGUGCACCUAUAUAUAAUAAAUCAUAUAGAUAAUUUUAUGAUAAAGUAAGAGAUAGACAACCACCUAAAGGAAAUAAAUAUAGAGACAGGUUUGAAUUAAAUGAUAAUUAUGAUAAACUUAUUAACUAUGGAGGAAUAAAAUUAGAUUUAAACUAUAAAAUAGAUACUAAAAAAGUCAUAUUAACUUAGGCAGAUUCAAUGAUAUUAUUUUUUUUAUAUAAUAAAAAUGACACAUGGGAAAAUACUGAAAGAAUAAUAGAUUUCUUAAUAGCAUCAUUUGAAGGAUAUGUUAAAAAUUGGUGGGAAUGAAUAAGUAAUGAUACAAAAAUAUUAAUAAAAAGAAAUGUACAAACAGAGAUAAUAAAAUCAGAUAGAUAAGGUAUGGAAAAGUUAGUAUAAUACAUUUCGGAUGAUUUUUUAGGAGAAAAUUGGAUAAGAAACGUUAAAAGAGAAGAGAUAAGAGAAAAAGACAAUACUAGAAUUAAACUUAUAAAUUUAACAACAUGUGAUUUGUGUAAAAUUUAAGAAUAUACUUGUGAUUUUAGAAAUUAUUAUUAUGUUUACAUGUUAUCUAAAAAUAUAUAAAAUUUAGAAGAAGAUAUUACAAAAUAUAUAUAUAUAUAUAUAUAUAUCUCAUAUGAUCAACAGAAAAAUAAAAGUUACAAGAAAAAUAAAAGUCAAUGUACAUGUUGGAAUUGUGGAGAAAUAUGUCAUACAAGUCCUGAUUGUGAUAAAAAAGAAAGUUAAAAUAUUACAAAAAGAAUAUUUGGAAAUAAAAUAUUGAUUUUAUGAAAUAUCAGAUAUUUAAGAAUAUUAUAAUUAAGAAGUUUAUAUAAGUGAAACAGAGAAUCAUAAAUCAGAACAUGAAUAAAGAAAUCAAGGAAAUAGAAAAUAAUAAUAUAAAUAUACAUGAAUAUGAAGGAAUAGAACGAUAUGAAUUAAAAGUUACCUUUAAUAAUAAUAAAUUUAGAAAAUUACAAAAAUUAUCUUUAAAUCUAAAAAUAGGGAAAUGAGAAGUCUUAGAUAGAAUUUAGAAAAAGGAAAUGAUAGCUAUAAAUGAAUAUCACAAAAAAAAGCUAUAAAUGUAAGAACAACAUAUGGACAACAUAAAAUAAAUCUUUUAACAAAAAAUACAGUUGAAGAAUUAUUAACAAAGGUUAGUAAAAAUCCAAUAUAUUUAUUUAGUAGGAAUACAAAUAAUUUUUAAAUCAUUAUUUAGAGAAGGAAUCAAUUCACCAUUGACUAUAACCUUACAUGAUUGAAGAAUAAUAAAUUUAAAAGAUAGUCACUUAGGAACAAUAGAAGGAAAUCUGGCAUAUCAAAAAUAAUGUUUACAUGUUAUCUAAAAUAUUGUGUUUCAUUAAAAGAUAGAAAUUUUAAUGAAGUAUUAGGACUAUAUUUUAAGUUGUAUAAAGAUGAUAUUAUGCAACCAGGGGAUCAAAUUAUGACUAUAAAAUAUAGAGUUUAUAUACAUUUACCAAUUCUAAUUAUGAAAAUAUUUAUUCCAAUAAAUCUUAUAUUGAAGUACAUAGAGAAUGUAAUGAUAUUAGCAAAAUAAUAGAACUAAAUAAACAAAUAAGUUUAAUUCCGGAAGAAUAUGAAUUUAGUAUAACAAAAAUAAACCCGAAAUAACAGAAUUAAAUGAAGGAGAAUGUUUUAAUAAUAUAAUAUUUAAGGAUAUAAAAUUAAUCAAAAGAUCAAAAAAUCUUAGAAUAUCCUAAUAAAAACCAAUUAGAAGAAUUUAGUAAUAUAAAAGAAGUAAAAUUAUAUAGGAAUGUUGGAAAUAUGAAAAUAGAAGGAAAAUAUUAUAAUGGAAGAGAAAAUAUAAAUGGACCAAAUAUAUUAAUACAUACAGGAGCUAGUGAAUGUCAUAUAACUUCUAUCAGAAAUAAAUGAUUAAUAACUCAUAAAAUCGAUCCAUAUAAAUAUGUAAAUUUUGAUGGACGGGUACAUAGUACAGAUUUGGAAGUCAAGGUAUCAAUAAAAAUAGGAGAAAUAAAUCUUUUAGUACCAUAUUAUAUAGAUAAAAGUAUGGAUAUAAACCCUUAUAUACUUUUAGGGAUGAGUUUUCUAAAUGGAUUAUAAGAUUAUAGUAUAAAAAGAAAAGGAUUAUAUAUAGUACAUAAUGGACAAACUAUAUUAUGUAAAAAGAACUAAAUAAACAAUCAAAUAAAUUUUUCAUUAGCUGUAUAUAUACAAGUUACUAUUGUAAAAUCAAAUAUAACAACUUGUGCUUUAAUAGACAUAGGAAGUGAUAUAACAAUAUUUAAAUUUUUUCUGAUAAAAUCAUGGAAUAAUUAUAGUAACAUAAAAAUAACUGGAGUCACAAGAGAAAGUACCCAGAUAAUAAAUAGUGCUGAUAAAGUUAGUAUAAUUCUUGGAAGUAAACAACUUACAAUAAAUAAAAUUUAUAUAUACGAUAAAUUAGAGUGUUAUAUAUUAUUAUGAAAUAACUUUAUACAACAAUGUCAAUAUUAUAAACAAAAUAAUUAUGUUACAAACACCUUACUCACACUUAUUAAAAAUUUCAAGGGAAUUUAAACCUUAUAGAGUUCAGCCGGUCCAGCGUGGUGAUAAAUGAGAGAAAAAACCAAUCAUGUUUAAUGAAAUAAAAAAUAAAAGAAUAUUGUAUAAAAAAGUUUUAAAAAUGAGAAUAGAAAUAAGUAUACAAAAAAUUAUUGAACAAUUAGAAAAAGUUUAUGGAGAAAAUUCAUUAUUAUUUUGGAAACCACAUCACCCUAAAGCCAAGAUAGAAUUGACAUAAAAUUUUAUAAUAAGAGUUAGAUCAAUGAUGUAUACUAUAGAAGAUACACCAGAAUUCAAAAAUCAGAUAACAGAAUUGUUAGAACAGAAACUUAUUAGACCUAACAAUGAACCUCAUAGUAGUCAAACCUUUAUUGUUAUGAAACAUUCUGAAUAGAAUAGAGGAAAAACUAGAAUGGUUAUAAAUUACAAAGAGUUAAAUAAAUAUACUAAAUUUGAUGGAUAUUUUUUAUCAAAUAAAGAAGUUUUAAUAAACCGUGUAAAAGGAAAACAAUAUUAUUCUAAAUUCGAUUGUAAAUCACGAUUUUGGUACACCUCAAGGAAAAUAUGAAUACUUAGUAAUACCAUUUGGAUUAAAAAAUACACCACAAAUAUAUCAAAGAAAAAUGGAUAAUAUAUAUAAAAAGUUAAAUGAAUUUCUAAUUAUUUAUAUAGAUGAUAUACUGAUAUGUUCUAAUAGUAAAGAAGAACAUAUGAAUCAUUUAAUCCAAUUCAUAAAUGAAUGUAAAAAAGAAUGAAUUAUACUUUCUAAAAAGAAAUUUAUAAUAACAAAAUAAGAAAUAAACUUUUUGGGAUUAUCAAUAGAUAAGAGAGGAAUAAAAUUACAGACUCAUAUAUUUAAAAAGAUAGAAAGUUUUCCAUAUAAAUUAAAAUCCAAAUAACAAAUACAAAAAUUCUUAAAAUGUUUAAAUUAUGCUAAAGGAUUUAUUGAAAAUCUUUCUUAGAAAAGAUAUAAGAUCCAAAUUUUAUUUAGAAAAAUAAAUUCUAAAUGAUGGAAUGAAGAAUAUACAGAAAUAGUUAAAUCAUUAAAUGAAGAAUGUAAAAUUUUACCAAAAUUAAGAUUACCAAAUGGAAAAGAUAAUUUAAUUGUUAAUAUUGAUGCCUCAGAUAAAAAUUGGCCAGCAAUAUUGAAACAAAUUUAAAUGAGAUUUGUAGAUAUUCAAGUGGAACUUUUAAUAAAGUAGAAAUAAAUUAUACCACACAUGAGAAAGAAUUACUAGCAAUAAUUAGAGGAAUAAAAAAGUUUUUAUUAUUCUUACUAUCCAAGAAAUUUAUUGUUGAGACUGAUAAUUCUCAAAUUGCAGGAUUAGUCAGGAAUAAACUACCAUCAGAACCUCAAUACAGAAUGCUCCAUAAAUAACAAGCCUAUUUAGCAUUUUAUAAUUUUGAUAUAGUUCAUAUUAAAGGAGUUAAUAAUUUUCUUGCAGAUUUUCUCAACAGAAAUAUAGAAUUUGCUGAUGGAUAAAGUUAGGGUCAUGGAGUUAUACCAAUCUAUCCUACAUAUACAAAAAAAGGACAAAUUUUCUUAAAAAAGAAUCUAAAGAUAUAAAUACUGGAACAACACAGAUCUCAAAGAUGUUCCACUCAAAUAUAAAAAUAUUGUUGAAUAUCACCACUGAGCAUCACAAAGAAGCCAUAAAACUCAAAAAUCAAGUUGAUGUUAUUGCAGCAAAACUAAAAGAUAUACUGUCUGAGACAGAUAUACUAAAGAGCUCAGAAAUUAGUUUUUCAAAUCAAUACCAAACAGGGACAGUUGGAAGCAUUAGUUGACCUAGACGUGACAAUAUAUCAACUGAUAAAAAAAGAUUUCAUUUCAGUAACACCAACAAAAAAAAUGGUGAUACAUGGAGAUAAAAAAGAUUCCAAAAUUAUUAGUAUUAUAGACUAGGAUGAUACAAUCCCUUUAGAUCCAAAAGAAGAAGGGUAUGCUAAAAUAGUCAGAAUUGCUUAUGAAAUAAAAAUAAGUGAUUCAUAUUUCAUCUCUUCAGGAAAUAAUGUUUAUCCCAGACUAGCAGUCAUGGAAGGAAGAGACCCUUUGUUUAUAAAGAUUAUGACAGACUAUGGAUUUAUGGAUUUGAUAUAUUCAGGAAAAGAUUUGAUUGAAAUUUCGAAAUUUGAUGAUAUAUUCAUAAAAGAAAAGAUUUGCUAAGGGACAAAGAAUAUAUUUGAAAUUUUAUUUAAUAAGUCCUGAAUACAAUGGAGUUGUUUAUUAUCCAGUUGAACACAUAAUCUCAAUUGGAUAUGUUGUAACCAACUUCCAGAUAGAUGUGGUGGAGAAUGAUAGAAAAAUUUCAACAGUAACAAAAUCAUGGAUUAAACAUAGAAGAGCACUCAGAAUUAAAGUUAUAUACAAUAUUGCUAAAAAUUUGUUUGAUAAAAAAUUUUCAUGCUUGUGCCAAUAUGAAAAUUAGAUGCUGGUAUCAAAUGGAGGACGUGAAAAAUCAGAAAUCUUGAAAGAUUACAUUACAAGAUUUGAAAUACUUCAAUUUUCAGGAUACCCUAUCACUAUAAAAGAAUCCUACCAACUAAGAGAGUGUCCCAACUGCUUGUGAAGACAUAAAAGAUAAAUGACAAUAUUAGAGAAAUAUGCUCUUUGGAUAAAAAGUUGGAAAAAGCAUGUGGAGAUAAAGAAAAAGGAGGACAAUAAUGGGGGCUCCUUUAAUCAGAAGCUGCAUGUGAAGAUGUAGGUUCAAGGAGAACAAUAAUAGAAAGGCAAGUGUGCCUUUGUUGAUGUACUGUAUGAUGUAAUAGAUCAAUAAUAAAGCCUCAUAUAUUUGUAUAAAUAGAGGCAUUGUAAUAGAUAGAAAUUAUCUUGAAAUCUCGAAUUGUAAUCAAUAGACACUCUUAAAUUAUCCUUAGUCUGAAAAACCAGUUUUUCUGAAAAUCCUUGUAUACCAAAUAGAAAUCUUGUAAAAAUUCUAAUAGAAAUAAAAUUUCAAUAUUUUGAUAUCAAUAUGAGUUUCUAAAUCUUUAUUCCCAUAGAUUCUUGAAUGAUCUAAUAAAAAGUUUCAUUCUUAUUUUAGCAAAAAGAGAGUUUUUCUUUAACAGAAGUCUAGAAUUUUGUUCUUUAGAGUUGAUACAGUAAGAGCAAAAAACUGAAAUAGUAAAUAUUCCAUGAAGACAAGAGGCCAUUGACGGAAGCAGUUUACAUAUUCAGAACUCAAAGGUUACUUGGUUCUAAAAAUAAAAAUUCAGAUCAAACCUAAGGUAAAACUAUUAAAUUUUUGCUUAUGAAUCUUUUUAGAUCUUAGAGAAUCAAAGGGAUUAUUUGUAUGAUUUAAUGAUUAUUUGUAUGAUUUAAUGCCAGAAUAUACAAUUGAAGGAUUAGAUAAUUUGUUAGAAAAAAUAUUAGAAGAAAUAAAAAAUAUUAUUUCUCAAUUAAAAAAUAUGAAUACAUCUUUUGAAGAAUAUAAUAUAUUAAAUAAUAAAUAUGAACAAUAUAUUGCAGAUUAUUCCAAUCUACUUGAUCAAAGAAUGGAUUUAUAUACUAAAAUUCAAAAUAGAAUAAAUAUAAGAUAAAAUAGUUUCAAGAUUAAGAUAUAUGUUGUAAUAUAGAAAAAAUCAUUUCGUUAAGGGCAAUAUAGACUUUUCUAUGAAAAGGCAUAGUAAGAGGCCAAAUAGAAAAAUCCUCUCUUUUGCUUUCCCCUUUGACUUCAUUUCCAUGUGUGUUUGUCAGUUUGUGCAUAUAUAUGUAUAUAAAUAGGGAUUUUAUUAUGUUUACGUUACCUAACAAUAAUUUGUUUCAAUUGUUGAAAAUCCCACCUUAUGUGAUUCUGAGCGAGUAGUAAAUAUGAAGCUUUAAGAGAAAAGAUGUUUGAAUUAACUAAAAUGAUUUUUUUCCCCGAGGUGGGUAUACCAUUUCUUUUGUUUCUGUUUAUACUUUUCGGAAAAUUAUAGGAUGUGUUAUGUGGGGUCUUGGGAAUACACAAUAGCAAAUGGAACCUAAAUCACUCUAUCUGUUUAUACCAUCAUCGUCUAGCAAUAACCUCAGACCAGGGUCCAAUGACCUUUCAUUUAUAUUUCCUACAGUGGGCCUCGCCGGAAAAAAAAGUGCACAUCUAAAUACCAUUCCAAAGACAUCCCAUCAACAGUAUCAAACUUUGUGAUCAAUCCAGUCCCAACUGGCUUAGACACCAAUCUUUCCUCAUUGCAGUAAGACCGUAAGGGUUGAAGGCCCAGACUAGGAUGGAGUGGAUUGAAAUGCAGCUGGGAGAAUUAGGUUUUCAAAACAGCAUUCCUUAGUCAGUGGUACUGAGUCAAUUAAUAUUCUUUUGGCAGAGUUGUCGAAUUGUAGAUGGAUAGAGAUAUGAUUAGCUUCUUAGAUGACAUAAUUAGCAAAGGCAGAGUAGGGGGCACGCUUUAUGUAUCUUCGGAGAGCAUGUCCUUCGCGGAUCUGAGAAAUUCACUAUAGUUUUCACGUCUCCCUAGAAUAUGAUGGUUUACAUAAUUACUGAUCUUUCAUUAUGGGGACCGGGCUUUCUGGGCGGCCGCCUCUGCGGAUUUCAUCUGGGUCUCCAAAUUUUCCUCCAACUACACCUUUAUUCUUGGCAAACUGCCUGAUCAAGGCUUGAUUACCAUGUGAUGAUGUCAAAAUUGUACCUGUUGAUUUCUCGAGAUUGAGGACUGGGAUCGAGCACAAACGGAGCCUUCCAGUACCUGAAACAAAGGCAACGAGGUGUGUGCUCGUCGCCCCUCCGAUGCUUAAGUCAGAGAGGGAAAUUGUGUAAAAGUAUGUGCUGUAAUUGUAUUGUAAAGACAUACCUGAAUAAUGGAGUUGAGUCCUGUAUUUAUAGAUGUCAGUGGUUGAGUUAUAUCAGGAUUCAACCACCUGUAAUCUUUAUCUUGUACAGUGAUUGAGUUAUAUCACAAUUACCACUUUAGGUUUGGCAUGAAUUGUAACACGUUUAGUAUUUAGAUAAUGAUAAACAGUUGAGUCAUAGGAGCACUAAAACUCACAAGAGACUCGAGAAGAGGACAAUAUUUUGACAUAUGGACCCGACCUUAGUAGGACCCGAUUAUUAGGUCCGACCUAUGAGAGGCCCGACCACAUUUUAAAGGAUAUUUGGAGAUGAGAGUGGUCGAGGUAUUUACCUCGAGCCAUGCUAGAAAGUUUGGGGUCGGGCUAUAAUUUUCAUACACAUCACCAUGGAUAAAAAGGAUAUUUAUGCCAGGCUCUGCAGACCCAACUCUUUUGACGGUGGACAAAGGUUUGCUUGUUCAAAUUCUCUAUUUUUUAUUUUUUUUCCCUUUCUGGUCCUGAAUUGUUAAAUUUGAUUUUCUUUUUUUUUUUUUGUUUGUUUGUGGGAAUAGGAAUUUUGGAUUGAUAAGAGAAUCGGAGGGACAUAUUUGUCAAUUUCUUCAAAGGCGAUAGCAAUUACGGGUAUAGAUGAUCGGAGAUAUUGAAAUCGCAUUCAGACUGAUGAAUCUAGGUGAGUAUUUGAAACAUCUGUGUGUUUGUUUGGUUGUUUGUCAUGUCUAAGCACAAAUUUGUCGGAAAAUAUGAAUAUAUUGCUUUUAUCCAAAGAAAACUUGCAUACUUCUCAAAGAUUUUCUUCAUAGUUGUUUUACGUUUCCGGGGGUUCAAACUUUCAAGGUACAAAGGCUGUAGCUUGAUAUAAAUAGAUCAAAUUACCUUCAAAUUCGACGGUUUAUAUGUUUUUUUUUAGUUUCUGAAUCCUCCAGAUGUUAGGGAUCAAUAGAACUGGACGAAGGAAUACCAAAGCUAACAUAUGAUUCCGAGUUUCCAUAAAAUAUGGUAAAAAGAAAAAUUGAAGAUUGGUUAAAAGAACGUCGUUUUAGGUAGUCUGGAGAUGGGAGUUUAAUUCUUGUCCCUAUCCGGGUAUGGAAUAAAUAAUCCUUCCUUUUAAAUCCAAAUGCAUUGACAAAGAUCAAAUAUUCUUUGACUCAGAUUGAUUAUAUUCACACCAAAGGUGGUUUAUGUAUAGAUUCAGUUUUGAUAUGUACCGGAAGCUUAGGUAAAUAGUUGUUUUUUGUAGAUGAACCCUCUAAAAAAUAGUAAUAUGCUGAAUCAGAAAGUGUCAGAGAAUAGAUUGCUUCUUAAGGAGCUUGGGAUGUGGAGGCAAUCUGUAUUUUUGUUUGAAUGAGUUGUUUGAUAGUUUCUAGUCUUGGGAUUUGGUGGUACCUAGUGAUUCUUGUACAUAAUUUAAUUUCAACUAUUUUGUUCGGAAUGUAGCUAUUGCUUCGUUUAUCUGCUAUUUGCGUUUCUUCUAUGUCUCGAUUUUGUAGUUAAUUUUCUGUUAUUUAUUUAGAUUGCAAUUGUUGAUCAGUAAUUCACUAGUCGUGGGAAAUUUUAAAUUUUCAUGUAGUAACUGGAAAAGAACCUCACCGUUUUAAAGGUUGCUUUGCAAUAAAGCGAGGCAAUAUUUGGUUGGUGAAUUGUGUAUUGAAAUCGAAGUAUCAAAAGCAAACCACUCUAUACAAUAUAAUUAACUAACAAAACUACAAAUAAAUUUCCUUUUUAUUAUUAUUUAGUUCCUAUUUGACUUCAAUUUUUUGAAAUUCAUUUUAUUUCAUACUCAUUUUCAAUUACACAUUUUAUAUGACUUAUGCUUUUUUAUCAACUUCUCAAUUAUAGAUAUCAUCAACUUCCACUCAAUCCAGUUUGUUAAACCUAUCAACGUGUACACAUCAGUUUUAAUAAUUAUGAAAGUUCUUGGGUUCUGAAAAUUGUAAUUCACAUUUAUUAUGUGAAGCUUAUUUAUAAAUGUAUUUAAUGACUAGGGAUGCACAUAGAUCUUUCCGUCUAUUUGGAGGGUUGGAAAUAA
RNAcentral lists this long non-coding RNA (23278 nucleotides) under Olea europaea (common olive). Its description in RNAcentral is "long non-coding RNA (OEUR_LNC006163)". Lineage: Eukaryota; Viridiplantae; Streptophyta; Magnoliopsida; Lamiales; Oleaceae. The record is from RNAcentral.